Molecule: ribosomal RNA, 394 nt
Filed under: uncultured bacterium
Lineage: Bacteria
Description: partial 16S ribosomal RNA
Rfam family: Bacterial small subunit ribosomal RNA
Source: RNAcentral
AUACGUAGGGGGCGAGCGUUGUUCGGAAUCAUUGGGCGUAAAGGGCGUGCAGGCGGUCCUGCAAGUCCGGCGUGAAAGACCCCGGCCCAACCGGGGGGACGCGCUGGAAACUGCGGGGCUUGAGUACAGGAAGGGAGGCCGGAAUUCCAGGUGUAGGGGUGAAAUCUGUAGAUAUCAGGAAGAACACCAAUGGCGAAGGCAGGCAGCUGGGCAAGUGCCGACGCGGAUACGCGAAGUGGCGGGCAGAAAACAGGUGUAGAUACCCUGGUACACCGCGUAGUAAACGAUGUGCAGCAGGUGGCGGGGGUUCGACCUUCGGUACCGUAGCUAACGCAUUAAGUGCACCGCCUGGGGAGUAUGCUCGCAAGGGUGAAACUCAAAGGAAUUGACGGGG